AAAAACAUGUCUUUUUGGUUAUUUAAUAUAAAGUCUAACCUGCCCACUGAAUUUUAUUUUGAAGGGCCGCAGUAUUUUGACUGUGCAAAGGUAGCAUAAUCAUUAGUCUUUUAAUUGAAGGCUGGUAUGAAUGGUUGGAUGAGGUACAAGCUGUGUCAUAAAAAUUAUUAAUUGAAUUUAACUUUUUAGUCAAAAGGCUAAAAUAAAAUUAAAAGACGAGAAGACCCUAUAGAGCUUUAUAUAGUGAUUAUUUAAUUUAUUAAGAUUUAUUAAAUUUAAUUAUUUUAUUAUAUUUUGUUGGGGUGACAAUAAAAUUUAUAAAACUUUUAUUAUUAAUUCACAUUUAUUUAUGAUUUUAUGAUCCAGUUUUAUUGAUUAUAAAUUUAAGUUACCUUAGGGAUAACAGCGUAAUUUUUUUUGAGAGUUCAUAUCGACAAAAAAGAUUGCGACCUCGAUGUUGGAUUAAGAGUAAUUUUGGGUGUAGAAGUUCGAAGUUUAAGUCUGUUCGACUUUUAAAUUCUUACAUGAUCUGAGUUCAAACCGGA
RNAcentral lists this ribosomal RNA (545 nucleotides) under Simulium albanense. RNAcentral describes it as "partial 16S ribosomal RNA". It matches the Rfam family "Bacterial large subunit ribosomal RNA", at positions 1809 to 2620 of the family's 2925-position model. Lineage: Eukaryota; Metazoa; Arthropoda; Insecta; Diptera; Simuliidae. The record is from RNAcentral.